AGAACGAACGCUGGCGGCGUGGAUAAGACAUGCAAGUCGAACGCGACUUAUAGCGAUAGCAAUAUCAUUGUAAGUUGAGUGGCGAAAGGGUGCGUAACACGUGGGAAUUUACCAAGAAGUGGGGAAUAGCUCGACGAAAGUCGAAUUAAUACCGCAUGUGAUCGAAAGAUCAAAGUCGGGGACCGCAAGGCCUGACGCUUUUUGAGAAGCCCGCGGCCCAUCAGCUAGUUGGCGAGGUAAAAGCUCACCAAGGCUAUGACGGGUAGCUGGUCUGAGAGGACGACCAGCCACACUGGAACUGAGACACGGUCCAGACACCUACGGGUGGCAGCAGUCGAGAAUUUUUCACAAU
RNAcentral lists this ribosomal RNA (352 nucleotides) under uncultured bacterium. Its description in RNAcentral is "SSU rRNA". It matches the Rfam family "Bacterial small subunit ribosomal RNA", at positions 26 to 372 of the family's 1533-position model. The record is from RNAcentral.